Molecule: long non-coding RNA, 1327 nt
Organism: Polistes canadensis
Lineage: Eukaryota; Metazoa; Arthropoda; Insecta; Hymenoptera; Vespidae
Exons: 3
Source: RefSeq, a predicted model, not a curated record
ACAACGAAACGUGCAAUGUACUUCUUUAUCCAUAUAUAAUAUAGAAAUACGAAGAGACAGAGUAAUUUAAAGAAAAAAGACUGGGAAAAGGGGGGUGUUAGGGUAUAAGAAAGUAAAAAAAAAAGAAAAUAGAAAAAGAACAAUAAAGACGGUAAGAGACAAAAAAUAAAAAAUUAUAAAAUAAAUACACAAAGAACAUAAAUUAUUAACUAACGUAAAAGAGAGAGAGAGAGAAAGAGAAAGAGAGAGAGAGAAUAAAAUAAAAAAUAAAAGCAAGAAGCCUUAGUUCGAUAAACUAACAUAACGAAUUUACAAAGCAUGGCGACGACGUAACGUGCACAUAUACACACGUAUAGGUAUAUAAUAGUAUAUACUCGAGAACAUCGAGUGCACUCGAUGCCCACUUCCGAAGUAUACUCGUUUUCUACCUUUUAAAUAUACACACACACACACACAUAUAUAUAUAUAUUGUAUAAACACUGAACGGAAAAUAACCGAGGCUCGUUUAGUUUCUCUACGUAAGUCUUGUUCGUUCGACGAACGAAAAACGUUGUGCUCGUUGUUAGAACGCUAAGAACUACGAGAUUUAAUCGUUGCUACGCGAAAUCCGGAAAAACGUUUUCGAAAAUAACGUUUCUCGAUUAGAUUUCAUUGUCGCACAUAUAGUUUUCCUUCCUCCCUUUAAAAAGAAUCUAUACGGGGUUCUUUGUGCUUUAAACGUAACCUUUGGAAACCGUUAAAAGUAGUUGUCAACGUUAGGAUAGAUACAAUACAUUUGUAUUUACUCAAUACUACCGAGGUUCCAGGCUGCUCGCUGAUCAAUGACUUCAAUUUAUUGUUCCUCUCUUAUCGAGGUAAAUUUCAACCGAUAUAUAAUAUAACUCGAGAAAAGUCAAAUGGAUAGUAUUAAAAAAAAAAAAAAACAAAAAAAAAAACUAAAAAAAGAAAAAGAAAGUACUUACCUAAGGAUCACGACGAUGCCGUCGAAAACAUUGAAACCGUUGCUGAUGUAGCCAAACGGACCCUCAGCUAUUACCUUAAGUAGCAUCUCAACGGCGAAGAUGGCAGAGAAAACGAUGUUGCUUAUCUCGACGAGCACGGUCAAUUGCUCCGGCUAUAAAUCGUUCGAAAGAAGAGAAGAGACGAAAUGAAGAAAAUUAAGGAAAAAUCUUCAACGAGUUUCAAGUAAAAAGGGAGGGGGAGAAGAAUCGUUACGAGCAAGCAAGACACAGCCAUACCGGUUUGGGUUUGAUUUCGAAACGUUUGAUAUAAAAGGAGAACCCCGUUAAUUAUCAUCCGGAUUACGUUGUUGUGUUUAAUGAAAUAA